RNAcentral lists this ribosomal RNA (810 nucleotides) under uncultured organism. RNAcentral's name for it is "bacterial SSU rRNA". It matches the Rfam family "Bacterial small subunit ribosomal RNA", at positions 60 to 883 of the family's 1533-position model. The record is from RNAcentral.
AGUCGUGCGAGAAGCCUCUUCGGAGGGUGGACAGCGGCGAAGGGAGAGUACGCGUGGAUACCAACCCCCAGGACCGGGAUAGCCGCGGGAAACCGCGGGUAAUACCGGAUAAUGUCUCCGGACCAAAGGUGUGAUUCCGNCUGGGGACGGGUCCGCGUCCUAUUAGCUUGUUGGUGAGGUAACGGCUCACCAAGGCGACGAUGGGUACCGGGUGUGAGAGCAUGGCCCGGCUCACUGGGACUGAGACACUGCCCAGACACCUACGGGUGGCUGCAGUCGAGAAUCUUCGGCAAUGGACGCAAGUCCGACCGAGCGACGCCGCGUGCGGGAUGAAGGCCUUCGGGUUGUAAACCGCUGUCAGAGGGGAGGAAAUCCUGUGGGGUUCUCUCCACAGGUUGACCUAUCCUCAGAGGAAGUACGGGCUAAGUUCGUGCCAGCAGCCGCGGUAAGACGAACCGUACAAACGUUAUUCGGAAUCACUGGGCUUAAAGGGUGCGUAGGCGGCCCUGCAAGUUGGGUGUGAAAGCCCUCGGCUCAACCGAGGAAUUGCGCCCAAAACUGCGGGGCUUGAGGGAGACAGAGGUGAGCGGAACUUAGGGUGGAGCGGUGAAAUGCGUUGAUAUCCUGAGGAACACCUGUAGCGAAAGCGGCUCACUGGGUCUCUUCUGACGCUGAGGCACGAAAGCUAGGGGAGCGAACGGGAUUAGAUAGCCCGGUAGUCCUAGCUGUAAACGUUGAGCACUUGGUCGGAGAGUCCUCCAUAGCUUUCCGGUCGCAGCGAAAGUGAUAAGUGCUCCGCCUGGGGAGUAU